AACCACAUCCAGGACGAUGGUAGAGCAGGCUGGUCCCCUGUCAGGUCUGUGUGGCAUUGUGAUGAUGUCUACAGAACAUCUGGGUUCGGCAUGGAGCAGUCUCUGCUUCGCCGAAAAAUCACAGAAGAAAGGUGGGAGGCUCACAGCCUACAAGAACAACAGGAAGAGCCAGACCUCACUAAUCGGGAAUUUGCAAUAACAUUGACACUGCCUUGAUCCCAAUGAGUAAAAGUUAAAAACUUCUCA
Neofelis nebulosa (Clouded leopard) is the source of this 246-nucleotide long non-coding RNA. RefSeq lists it as uncharacterized. The transcript has 2 exons. Lineage: Eukaryota; Metazoa; Chordata; Mammalia; Carnivora; Felidae. The record is from RefSeq and is a predicted model, not a curated record.